UUAGGCGACGAAGUGGUUGAUACCAUGCUUCCAAGAAAAGCUCCUAAGCUUCAGAUAACUGGGAACCGUACCCCAAACCGACACAGGUGGUUAGGUAGAGAAUACCAAGGCGCUUGAGAGAACUCGGGUGAAGGAACUAGGCAAAAUGGCACCGUAACUUCGGGAGAAGGUGCGCCGGCGAGGGUCAAGGACUUGCUCCGUAAGCCCAUGCCGGUCGAAGAUACCAGGCCGCUGCGACUGUUUAUUAAAAACACAGCACUCUGCAAACACGAAAGUGGACGUAUAGGGUGUGACGCCUGCCCGGUGCCGGAAGGUUAAUUGAUGGGGUUAGCGCAAGCGAAGCUCUUGAUCGAAGCCCCGGUAAACGGCGGCCGUAACUAUAACGGUCCUAAGGUAGCGAAAUUCCUUGUCGGGUAAGUUCCGACCUGCACGAAUGGCGUAACGAUGGCGGCGCUGUCUCCACCCGAGACUCAGUGAAAUUGAAAUCGCUGUGAAGAUGCAGUGUAUCCGCGGCUAGACGGAAAGACCCCGUGAACCUUUACUAUAGCUUUGCACUGGACUUUGAAUUUGCUUGUGUAGGAUAGGUGGGAGGCUUUGAAGUGGGGACGCCAGUUCUCAUGGAGCCAUCCUUGAAAUACCACCCUGGCAACUUUGAGGUUCUAACUCAGGUCCGUUAUCCGGAUCGAGGACAGUGUAUGGUGGGUAGUUUGACUGGGGCGGUCUCCUCCCAAAGAGUAACGGAGGAGUACGAAGGUGCGCUCAGACCGGUCGGAAAUCGGUCGUAGAGUAUAAAGGCAAAAGCGCGCUUGACUGCGAGACAAACACGUCGAGCAGGUACGAAAGUAGGUCUUAGUGAUCCGGUGGUUCUGUAUGGAAGGGCCAUCGCUCAACGGAUAAAAGGUACUCCGGGGAUAACAGGCUGAUACCGCCCAAGAGUUCAUAUCGACGGCGGUGUUUGGCACCUCGAUGUCGGCUCAUCACAUCCUGGGGCUGAAGCCGGUCCCAAGGGUAUGGCUGUUCGCCAUUUAAAGUGGUACGCGAGCUGGGUUUAGAACGUCGUGAGACAGUUCGGUCCCUAUCUGCCGUGGACGUUUGAGAUUUGAGAGGGGCUGCUCCUAGUACGAGAGGACCGGAGUGGACGAACCUCUGGUGUUCCGGUUGUCACGCCAGUGGCAUUGCCGGGUAGCUAUGUUCGGAAGAGAUAACCGCUGAAAGCAUCUAAGCGGGAAACUUGCCUCAAGAUGAGAUCUCACUGGGAUCUUGAAUCCCCUAAAGGGCCGUCGAAGACUACGACGUUGAUAGGUUGGGUGUGUAAGCGCUGUGAGGCGUUGAGCUAACCAAUACUAAUUGCCCGUGAGGCUUGACCAUAUAACACCCAAGCAAUU
This 1385-nucleotide ribosomal RNA is filed under the name Pseudomonas sp. GW460-5. Its description in RNAcentral is "bacterial LSU rRNA". It matches the Rfam family "Bacterial large subunit ribosomal RNA", at positions 1578 to 2925 of the family's 2925-position model. Lineage: Bacteria; Pseudomonadati; Pseudomonadota; Gammaproteobacteria; Pseudomonadales; Pseudomonadaceae. RNAcentral also lists the same sequence under 1 other name. The record is from RNAcentral.